This 691-nucleotide ribosomal RNA is filed under the name uncultured bacterium. Its description in RNAcentral is "bacterial SSU rRNA". It matches the Rfam family "Bacterial small subunit ribosomal RNA", at positions 121 to 800 of the family's 1533-position model. The record is from RNAcentral.
GCAACCUGCCCAAAAGAGGGGGAUAACACUUGGAAACAGGUGCUAAUACCGCAUAACCAUAGUUACCGCAUGGUAACUAUGUAAAAGGUGGCUAUGCUACCGCUUUUGGAUGGGCCCGCGGCGCAUUAGCUAGUUGGUGGGGUAAAGGCUUACCAAGGCAAUGAUGCGUAGCCGAACUGAGAGGUUGAUCGGCCACAUUGGGACUGAGACACGGCCCAAACUCCUACGGGAGGCAGCAGUAGGGAAUCUUCCACAAUGGGCGAAAGCCUGAUGGAGCAACGCCGCGUGGGUGAAGAAGGUCUUCGGAUCGUAAACCCUGUUGUUAGAGAAGAAAGUGCGUGAGAGUAACUGUUCACGUUUCGACGGUAUCUAACCAGAAAGCCACGGCUAACUACGUGCCAGCAGCCGCGGUAAUACGUAGGUGGCAAGCGUUAUCCGGAUUUAUUGGGCGUAAAGGGAACGCAGGCGGUCUUUUAAGUCUGAUGUGAAAGCCUUCGGCUUAACGGGAGUAGUGCAUUGGAAACUGGGAGACUUGAGUGCAGAAGAGGAGAGUGGAACUCCAUGUGUAGCGGUGAAAUGCGCAGAUAUAUGGAAGAACACCAGUGGCGAAAGCGGCUCUCUGGUCUGUAACUGACGCUGAGGUUCGAAAGCGUGGGUAGCAAACAAGAUUAGAUACCCUGGUAGUCCACGC